GACGAACGCUGGCGGCGUGCCUAAUACAUGCAAGUAGAACGCUGAAGAGAGGAGCUUACUCUUCUUGGAUGAGUUGCGAACGGGUGAGUAACGCGUAGGUAACCUGCCUUGUAGCGGGGGAUAACUAUUGGAAACGAUAGCUAAUACCGCAUAACAAUGGAUGACACAUGUCAUUUAUUUGAAAGGGGCAAUUGCUCCACUACAAGAUGGACCUGCGUUGUAUUAGCUAGUAGGUGAGGUAAUGGCUCACCUAGGCGACGAUACAUAGCCGACCUGAGAGGGUGAUCGGCCACACUGGGACUGAGACACGGCCCAGACUCCUACGGGAGGCAGCAGUAGGGAAUCUUCGGCAAUGGGGGCAACCCUGACCGAGCAACGCCGCGUGAGUGAAGAAGGGUUUCGGAUCGUAAAGCUCUGUUGUAAGUCAAGAACGGGUGUGAGAGUGGAAAGUUCACACUGUGACGGUAGCUGACCAGAAAGGGACGGCUAACUACGUG
This 497-nucleotide ribosomal RNA is filed under the name uncultured bacterium. RNAcentral describes it as "partial 16S ribosomal RNA". It matches the Rfam family "Bacterial small subunit ribosomal RNA", at positions 28 to 507 of the family's 1533-position model. The record is from RNAcentral.